Impatiens glandulifera is the source of this 305-nucleotide long non-coding RNA. RefSeq lists it as uncharacterized. Lineage: Eukaryota; Viridiplantae; Streptophyta; Magnoliopsida; Ericales; Balsaminaceae. The record is from RefSeq and is a predicted model, not a curated record. The transcript is spliced from 2 exons.
AAAUGGGAGAACAGUUCGUUGGGUAGGAAGUUGAUUGUUCAGAAGAGAAGAGCUACACUAAACGAUUUUGACAGAUUCAAGAUUAUGUUGGCUUAAAUCAAGAGAGCUAGAGUUGUCAGGCAAGAGCUUGCAAAGCUCAAGAAGAGCUCAGUUGCGGCUGCAUAAGAUAUUUCUAUAGUUUUCAAGAUGACUUUAAGAUUUGUGUUUGUUUCUUUGUUACUUUUUGAACAAUUUGUGGGUUUUUUUUGGGUGAAACUUGCAGGAACAUGAGUCACAUUAAAUGUUAUUUGUUUCAACUUUGUCAA